CUAAAGUAUUAAAGGUAACGCCUGCCCAGUGAUAAAUUAAACGGCCGCGGGAUCCUCCACCGUGCAAAGGUAGCAUAAUCACUUGUCCCCUAAAUAGUGACUAGUAUGAAUGGCCAAAUGAAGAUUUUACUGUCUCUUAUAGCCGAUCUAUGAAACUAAUUUAUCAGUACAAAAGCUGAUAUAUUUACAUAAGACGAAAAGACCCUGUGGAACUUUAAGCAUAACCCACCACAAUGGCCCACCUGCUUUUAGUUGGGGCAACUUUGGAAAAAAACAAAACUUCCAAUAAAAUUAAAGAUUGACAAAUCUAUAUCAUUACAUCCGACCCAAUAUAUAUUGAUCAAAGAACCAAGCUACCCCAGGGAUAACAGCGCCAUCCCCUCCUAGAGCCCAAAUCGACGAGCGGGGUUUACGACCUCGAUGUUGGAUCAGGGCCCCCAAACAGUGCAACAGCUGUUAAUGGUUUGUUUGUUCAACAAUUAAAGCCCUACGUGAUCUGAGCUA
RNAcentral lists this ribosomal RNA (504 nucleotides) under Pholidobolus vertebralis (brown Prionodactylus). RNAcentral's name for it is "partial 16S ribosomal RNA". It matches the Rfam family "Bacterial large subunit ribosomal RNA", at positions 1838 to 2612 of the family's 2925-position model. Lineage: Eukaryota; Metazoa; Chordata; Lepidosauria; Squamata; Gymnophthalmidae. The record is from RNAcentral.